GACUAAGACAUCCCACCCUAAAUGCCUCCAACAUUAUCAGGUCUUGGGAGCUAAGCAAGGUCAGAUCUGGUUAGUAUUUCAAUAGGAGACGUAAUGACUAUGCAGAACAGGCU
This is a ribosomal RNA of Cricetulus griseus (Chinese hamster), 113 nucleotides long. Lineage: Eukaryota; Metazoa; Chordata; Mammalia; Rodentia; Cricetidae. The record is from Ensembl.